AGAAACUCAGAAAUAUGUAAACGACAAGCCAGAGGAUCCUCUCUCCAAAUGUCUCUGAAAAACACUGGGUGAUCAACUAAAACUCAGAGAGGAUUAGUAACUGCCUAGGUUACACAUUAAGGAGCAAAUAGAGAUUUUGCCAAAGGCAGACAGAUUCCUGUGUUCUUAACCACAGAAACCUUGGCUAUUCUCUCUCUUCUCAUUCAUAAAAACACUAUCCCUAAUUGUUUGUUUUGCUACAUAAUCUCCCUUUCUAAAUCUAAAACAGAUAAGAGAUUUGUAGAUAGGAUGGAAAAUGAGCUGUUCAUGACUGGCCACUAAUUAAUUUUGGUAAAUGGAAAGAAGGAAUUAACUUCUCCAACUGAAAUCCAAAGCAAAAGAGCCGAAAUGCAGUAGAGUGGGAAACGAAUAAGAUUUAAGAGUAAAAGCUUUCUCUUAGGCAGACAGUCAUGACAAGCAAAUCCUAAGACUGCACCUGACCGAGUCAAUAUUUGCUCAUUCAACACUACUUCUACUUGUUCAUUACAAGGGUUUAUCUGGAAGGUUACAGAUAAAUCAGUUACUGAAUCCAUAUGAGCACUGCCC
Molecule: long non-coding RNA, 585 nt
Filed under: Homo sapiens (human)
Lineage: Eukaryota; Metazoa; Chordata; Mammalia; Primates; Hominidae
Description: HSALNT0030377
Source: RNAcentral